GGUCUUUUGAAUUUAAUUUAAGGUCUGACCUGCCCAGUGAUGAAUUUAACGGCCGCGGUAUAUUGACCGUGCAAAGGUAGCAUAAUCAUUAGUCUUUUAAUAGAGGGCUGGAAUGAAUGGUUUAACGAGGAACUAGCUGUCUCAUUUUAUUUGUUUUAGAAUUUAAUUUUUUAGUUAAAAAGCUAAAAUUUUAUUGGAAGACGAGAAGACCCUAUAGAUCUUUAUAUAAUUUUAUUUAUUUAUUUAUAUAUUAAUGUAAUUAUAUUUAAAUUAUAUUUUGUUGGGGUGACAAAAAUAUAUAAUUAACUUUUUCAUUUAUUUACCAUUUAUAUAUGAGUAUUAGAUCCAUUUUUAGUGAUUGUUAGAAUAAGUUACCUUAGGGAUAACAGCGUAAUCCUCCUCCAGAGUUCAUAUUUACAGGAGGGCUUGCGACCUCGAUGUUGGAUUAAGAUAAUAAUUAGGUGUAGCCGCUUAAUGUAUAGGUCUGUUCGACCUUUAAAUUCUU
RNAcentral lists this ribosomal RNA (505 nucleotides) under Sympetrum depressiusculum. RNAcentral's name for it is "partial 16S rRNA". It matches the Rfam family "Bacterial large subunit ribosomal RNA", at positions 1818 to 2597 of the family's 2925-position model. The record is from RNAcentral. Lineage: Eukaryota; Metazoa; Arthropoda; Insecta; Odonata; Libellulidae.